RNAcentral lists this ribosomal RNA (432 nucleotides) under Triticum aestivum (bread wheat). RNAcentral's name for it is "partial small subunit ribosomal RNA". Lineage: Eukaryota; Viridiplantae; Streptophyta; Magnoliopsida; Poales; Poaceae. The record is from RNAcentral.
AUGGCUGCAAAUGGCAAGCAUAGGAAGAAAAAAAUUAUACAGCUUGAACAGGACGAGGGGACAAUAGUGGGACAUGAAAAUUUGAAAGCAUACAUCUCUAACUAUUAUAAAAAACUUUUUGGUCCCCCUAAUUCAUCUAUGGUGUCCCUUGACGAAUCUAUGAUUGAUGAUAUACCUCAAUUACAGGCAGCAGAGAAUGAUGUUCUCUCUGCACCGUUUACUGAAAAAGAGGUUUGUCAGGCAAUUUCCCAAAUGAAGCCAAAUAAAGCAUCGGGACCAGAUGGGUUUCCCGCUGAAUUCUAUAAGAAAUGUUGGCAUAUUAUUAAAGAUGAUCUUAUGCCUAUGUUUCAUGAUUUUUUUGACGGUCAUUUGGAGUUGUUUCAUCUUAACUUUGGUACGAUCACGUUGUUACGUGAUGACCCACAAGUAUAG